UACGGGAGGCAGCAGUGGGGAAUAUUGCACAAUGGGCGCAAGCCUGAUGCAGCCAUGCCGCGUGUAUGAAGAAGGCCUUCGGGUUGUAAAGUACUUUCAGUCGUGAGGAAGGUGUUAAGGUUAAUAACCUUAGCAAUUGACGUUAGCGACAGAAGAAGCACCGGCUAACUCCGUGCCAGCAGCCGCGGUAAUACGGAGGGUGCGAGCGUUAAUCGGAAUUACUGGGCGUAAAGGGCACGCAGGCGGUUAAUUAAGUUGGAUGUGAAAUCCCCGGGCUUAACCUGGGAAUGGCAUUCAAGACUGGUUAGCUAGAGUCUUGUAGAGGGGGUAGAAUUCCAUGUGUAGCGGUGAAAUGCGUAGAGAUGUGGAGGAAAUACCGGUGGCGAAGGCGGCCCCUGGACAAAAGACUGACGCUCAUGUGCGAAAGCGUGGGGAGCAAACAGGGAUUAGAUACC
This 455-nucleotide ribosomal RNA is filed under the name uncultured bacterium. RNAcentral describes it as "bacterial SSU rRNA". It matches the Rfam family "Bacterial small subunit ribosomal RNA", at positions 340 to 786 of the family's 1533-position model. The record is from RNAcentral.